AGUGAACGCUGGCGGUAGGCCUAACACAUGCAAGUCGAACGGCAGCACAGUAAGAGCUUGCUCUUACGGGUGGCGAGUGGCGGACGGGUGAGAAAUACAUCGGAAUCUACUUUUUCGUGGGGGAUAACGUAGGGAAACUUACGCUAAUACCGCAUACGACCUACGGGUGAAAGCAGGGGAUCUUCGGACCUUGCGCGAUUGAAUGAGACGAUGUCGGAUUAGCUAGUUGGCGGGGUAAAGGCCCACCAAGGCGACGAUCCGUAGCUGGUCUGAGAGGAUGAUCAGCCACACUGGAACUGAGACACGGUCCAGACUCCUAAGGGAGGCAGCAGUUGGGAAUAUUGGACAAUGGGCGCAAGCCUGAUCCAGCCAUACCGCGUGGGUGAAGAAGGCCUUCGGGUUGUAAAGCCCUUUUGUUGGGAAAGAAAAGCAGCAGGUUAAUACCCCGCUGUUCUGACGGUACCCAAAGAAUAAGCACCGGCUAACUUCGUG
RNAcentral lists this ribosomal RNA (492 nucleotides) under uncultured bacterium. RNAcentral's name for it is "partial 16S ribosomal RNA". It matches the Rfam family "Bacterial small subunit ribosomal RNA", at positions 29 to 507 of the family's 1533-position model. The record is from RNAcentral.